RNAcentral lists this ribosomal RNA (256 nucleotides) under Ralstonia solanacearum. RNAcentral's name for it is "partial 16S ribosomal RNA". The record is from RNAcentral. Lineage: Bacteria; Pseudomonadati; Pseudomonadota; Betaproteobacteria; Burkholderiales; Burkholderiaceae.
GGCGGGCGGCUGAUAUACAUCGGACGUGCCCUGUAGUGGGGGAUAACUAGUCGAAAGACUAGCUAAUACCGCAUWCGACCUGAGGGUGAAAGUGGGGGACCGCAAGGCCUCAUGCUAUAGGAGCGGCCGAUGUCUGAUUAGCUAGUUGGUGGGGUAAAGGCCCACCAAGGCGACGAUCAGUAGCUGGUCUGAGAGGACGAUCAGCCACACUGGGACUGAGACACGGCCCAGACUCCUACGGGAGGCAGCAGUGGGA